RNAcentral lists this unclassified non-coding RNA (366 nucleotides) under soil metagenome. RNAcentral's name for it is "partial contains 5.8S ribosomal RNA, internal transcribed spacer 2, and large subunit ribosomal RNA". The stretch from base 1 to 120 matches the Rfam family "5.8S ribosomal RNA", at positions 35 to 154 of the family's 154-position model. The record is from RNAcentral.
GAUGAAGAACGUAGCGAAAUGCGAUACGUAAUGUGAAUUGCAGAAUUCAGUGAAUCAUCGAGUCUUUGAACGCACAUUGCGCCCCCUGGUAUUCCGGGGGGCAUGCCUGUCCGAGCGUCAUUGCUGCCCUCAAGCACGGCUUGUGUGUUGGGCCCCCGUCCCCCUCUUUUUAGGGGGGGACGGGCCCGAAAGGCAGCGGCGGCACCGUGUCCGGUCCUCGAGCGUAUGGGAAGCAACUCUUUUUGUCACCCGCUCCUGUAGGUCCGGCCGGCGGCCUGCCCAACCCUCAAUCAAUCUUUUUAACCAGGUUGACCUCGGAUCAGGUAGGGAUACCCGCUGAACUUAAGCAUAUCAAUAAGCGGAGGA